Long non-coding RNA from Trifolium pratense (red clover), 524 nucleotides. RefSeq lists it as uncharacterized. The record is from RefSeq and is a predicted model, not a curated record. The transcript is spliced from 2 exons. NCBI's taxonomy places the organism in Eukaryota, Viridiplantae, Streptophyta, Magnoliopsida, Fabales, Fabaceae.
AAAGUUAUACACAGGGAAGAAAGCUACUCCGAGAUAUCACUGUAGGGAAGGUUGAUGCGGGCUGUUUUAGCGAUGGAACAACAUGUUGGGGGUGUGUUAUACAAAACCAAUAUGAAGUUAUUCCUCUAUUAGCCUGUCGCGAGGAGGAUAUCAGCUCUGACCCGCUAAUGGCUGAGCCUUUGGGCGUAUUGCAGCUGGCCAUUUCUCGACAAUUGAAGAAGGUAAUCAUACAAAUGGAUGCACAGGUUGUUGUAAAAUGUAUUGACAAUAAGCAAGUGAUAGCUGCUAUUAACCAUGUUAUUUUAGAUUGUAAGGAGCUUAUUAGGUUAGAUUAUACUAAUGUAAUGUUUAUCAGUAGAACUUUAAAUGUUAUAGCUCAUGAACUUGUUGGAAGAGCUAGCUAAAGUUGUUGUCUCCAAGACCUGGUUGGGAUGUCCCUCCAUUUGGUCAUACAUCUUGUAACCUUGUUCCAAUUUCUAUCUGAAUGAACAGGUGGAAUUUCAAAAAGAAAAGUUUAAACCUUA